Long non-coding RNA from Candoia aspera, 1398 nucleotides. RefSeq lists it as uncharacterized. Lineage: Eukaryota; Metazoa; Chordata; Lepidosauria; Squamata; Candoiidae. The record is from RefSeq and is a predicted model, not a curated record. The transcript is spliced from 2 exons.
AGCACCACUGCCUCCAUCUCUCUACUUCAUCUGGCAGCUGGCCUCCCCCAUGGUCCGGAAAGAUUGCGAACAACCAAGAGGGCAAUUUCUUUCUGUAUAGAAACCUGUUUUUUGGGUAUAAGGAAAUCCCUGCACCUUUGCACAGAACCUUGAUCUGAAAACUUCUCUCUGUCUCAGGAUACAAUCAUACUUCCUUCAUGAAUCCUGCCUCUGAACCAAGACUGGCUGGUAAGAUAUGAUGCAUGAUUUUUUUUCCUCUCCAUUUUGGAAUCACAGUGAAAUGCAGCUGUCCAAGAUAGGAGGGAUCAUAAGUGAUCUUUUCAGAUUCAAGGGUACAUGAAACCAUACUCUGUGAGAAAGGGACCUGCUGUUGUGCCUGAUACAUACUUAACAAUAGCGCUCAAAAAGGCAAGGUUGAAGGGCAUUUUUCAAAAAUCAUUCAAGGUAAUGGAGAAAUUGUCUAAAUUAAUGCACAAAGGAUCUAGUUCAAUAAUUCUCAACAUGUGGUUCAGAGGCCACUAAUGAUUUGCAAGAGUACUGCAGGUGGCCUCCAGCAUGGGUGCGGAAAGAAAUAUCUUUCUUAAAAUGGCUGAAACCCAAAGAGAAUACAAGUCUCCAAGAUUUUUAGUAUUCUUGUUUAAAAGUCUGGCUCCCCCCCCAAAAAAAAUCUCCUAAGAUUUUAGCAGAAGUACCUAAUAAUCUAUGAGUUUUCAUGUUCUCAAAAAUUUUGGUCUUAAAAAAAAAAAAUUUAGUUUGAGGUUCAGAGUGGUCAUAUAUAAUAUGGUGCUUCUGUAGUAGCACCUUAAAGCCUUCAAUCGCAAUGCAAUGAUCUCAUAACAGAAAAGUGGGAAACUGCUGCUUUAAUAGGAAAAAGGGCAGGGAGAGAUCAAAGACGAUGAAGAGACAGAUAUGGGACCUCUAGAUAAAUUAGCCAUAAUAAUAUUCGUUAAAAGUCAAUAUUUUGACAAAAAAAUAAUUUAAAAGAAAAAUUAGGGGAAAGAAGAAAUUUCCUCAAUUUAUCUCCACUGUUUUAAAAUCACAUUAAUAAUGUAUCCGUGAACCUAACUGCUUUGUAAAACCUUUUGGCUCAUUUUGGAAAAUAUUUAAUAGGGCAAUCCUGUUUAUUCAAAAGUAAGUUCCCCUGCAUUUAUCAGGGCUUAAUCUAAGAUCGGAGACUUGGAUUUCAUCCAAGGGAUUAUGAACAAGCCAACAGGUUCUUUGCAUUGCAUUUUUAAAAUGUUUACCGAUAAUCUGAGUGCAUACAACAGCCAUAAAUUCUUGUGCUGCUCUUCUAUGGCUCGGCUUACUGUAUACUAUGAUAUUAUUUAAAAAUAAGUCUGGCUGGUAUCUGUAAAGGUUAUAUUCAAGUAGAUGUGAUCAGACCUAAAUUCAAAACUA